UACGGGGGGGGCAAGCGUUGUUCGGAAUUACUGGGCGUAAAGGGCGCGUAGGCGGUUGGAUAAGUCAGCUGUGAAAACCACGGGCUUAACUCGUGGCCUGCAGUUGAGACUGUCUGGCUUGAGUGUGGGAGAGGAGAGUGGAAUUCCUGGUGUAGCGGUGAAAUGCGUAGAUAUCAGGAGGAACACCGGUGGCGAAGGCGGGUCUCUGGGCCGAUACUGACGCUGAGGAGCGAAAGCGUGGGGAGCAAACAGG
This 253-nucleotide ribosomal RNA is filed under the name uncultured bacterium. RNAcentral's name for it is "partial 16S ribosomal RNA". It matches the Rfam family "Bacterial small subunit ribosomal RNA", at positions 524 to 776 of the family's 1533-position model. The record is from RNAcentral.